UACCAGCACCCCGAGUGGUCGGGACGUUUAUUGGGCCUAAAGCAUCCGUAGCCGGUUCUACAAGUCUUCCGUUAAAUCCAGCUGCUUAACAGAUGGGCUGCGGAAGAUACUAUGGAGCUAGGAGGCGGGAGAGGCAAGCGGUACUCGAUGGGUAGGGGUAAAAUCCGUUGAUCCAUUGAAGACCACCAGUGGCGAAGGCGGCUUGCCAGAAUGCGCUCGACGGUGAGGGAUGAAAGCUGGGGGAGCAAACCGG
RNAcentral lists this ribosomal RNA (253 nucleotides) under uncultured bacterium. RNAcentral describes it as "partial 16S ribosomal RNA". It matches the Rfam family "Archaeal small subunit ribosomal RNA", at positions 474 to 727 of the family's 1478-position model. The record is from RNAcentral.